AUAAAACGUGUAUCGGUGUAUAUAUUUCUCAAAACCCUAGGCCAAUUUGGGUUUGUCGCUUGUCUUUCGAUUUAGGCGUUUACGAAAUCGAAGAACCGUAACUGAAGAAGAACAAAGAUGAAGACGAACGGUAAGAAAGUGAAGAAAGAAGGAGAAGACAGAAUAAGCAGAUUGCCUUGUGAGUUGCACCUUGCCAAAAGCAUUCUCGAGUUUGCCGGCAUUAACUAAUCUACAUCUCAACAGUGUUCGAAUUUAUGAAGACAAAAGAAUGUUCUUUUCGGAACUUGUGAAUUUGAAGAAUCUCACUAUGGAGAGAUGCGAAAUCCAGCAGAAAGUUAUCAAUGUAUCAUCUCUUCAGCUCACUAAUCUGACUAUCAAAUAUUCAGGGGAAGUAGAUAAGUUCCGAAUAUUAGAGAUAAGUUUAAAUCCUUCUUUCUUCACUUUCUUAGAGAUAAGUUUAAAUAUAUUUGGGCGGGAAUUUUUAAACUUAUCUCUAAGAUUUUUUCUAUUUCAACACGGAAAUUUAUAUUUCAUAAGGUUUCCAUACAUCUUUAAGGGGUAAAAAAGUUUACAAAAUUCGAGUACAGUUUGGUUACUUUUCCGGUCUAAUUUUUUAAUCGGAUGAGUAAGGUGUUUAGUACUUCAACUUUUCCACUUUUAAACAUUCCGACUUUCACAGCAUAAGGAAGCCUUAAUUGAGCCCAUAGCUCAUGAGUGGCUCAGUCCACAGACCUUUGUUACAAGUUACAAUAAUGGUUGUGAGUUUUUCUAUUUCAACACGGAAAUUUAUAUUUCAUAAGGUUUCCAUACAUCUUUAAGGGGUAAAAAAGUAUACAAAAUUUGAGUACAGUUUGGUUACUUUUCCCGUCUAGUUUUUCAAUCGGAUGAGUAAGGUGUUUAGUACUUCAACUUUACCACUUUUAAACAUUCCGAUUUUCACAGCAUAAGGAAGCCUUAAUUGAGCCCAUAGCUCAUGAGUGGCUCAGUCCACAGACCUUUGUUACAAGUUACAAUAAUGGUUGUGAAU
This 1027-nucleotide long non-coding RNA is filed under the name Panax ginseng (ginseng). Its description in RNAcentral is "long non-coding RNA (PGIN_LNC011450)". The record is from RNAcentral. Lineage: Eukaryota; Viridiplantae; Streptophyta; Magnoliopsida; Apiales; Araliaceae.